UCGCUGGCCCAGUCUUGCUUCCUGCAAACACUGACAGCUGCAGCCAUCCACCACGGGACUUUGGGGUAUCCCAGAAUGUCCACACCUGUCAAGACACAGGAAAUCUUUGAGGCUGACAGCACACCCCACCCCCCCACCCCCCUGCCGACGGAGACCCGUGCUGGUGCUGCGUGCCAGAGGAGGGCAUCAGCGAGCCAUUUGAUUCGGUUUCCUGAGGUUCAGAAAAGAUCAGGCUUUUGAUUUUGUGCAAACGGUGGCUCGCAGGGUCGUAGAGCGUUGGAACUAGAAAAGAACAUUCAUCUGGUUCGAGCCCACAUUUUCAGCUGCUGAAGCCAUGUCCAACCGGCUGUCCCCAGUGCUGCUGUCACUCACACGUGCUCAUGAGCCACUGCACACAGGUGGAAGACCAGGGGCCUCGGAACCCAAGGUGCCCUCCCAGCACUGAGGACGUGUCCCGGAAAACUUUCUUAACUGGGUUGGUGAUUCCUUGGUGUCUCCUCCUGAGACUAAAUUGGCAUUAAGAACAAUUAAGGUGGCCAGAUGGAACCUGAACAGAAGACUGAUUUGAUGUCAGGGUCUUUAACUGGACAACGUACAGCCCAUGGGGACUUUGCGAACCCCUUGUUCAUUGGCCAAAGACAGACCCCAGGCUCAGUGACCUACGGAAGACCGCAGAUGUCAGGGAAGCCCUGGGUAAUUCCCCCUAGCUUCCACCCAGUGUGUUUGCUGUCCCAGCUGCACAGAGGGGAGCGUCCCUGGGGGUGGUGGCAAUGGGGACCUGGCUCCUUUUUCUUGGGGUCCAGCAAAGCCACUUCCUUUUCUUCUGAUCUGCUCUGCGCCACGGAGAUGGCCCGAUCCCAGGUGGGAGAAGCUCCGGCCGUCCCCUGAGCCACCGUGCCCGGUCAUAUAAGAACCCACAUGACAGACUUUUCUGUUUGACAAGAUUUUCAUGUCAUUUCUUCACAGGGGCCCAUGGCCAGUGUUGCUCUUUUGCUGUCUUGACAGUUCUGUGUACGGAGUUUUUAUUGUAAGGUUAUAAUAUGAUGUUAAACAGAAGUACCAUAUUGUUAUCUGAGAGUUGAGUAACCUAGAACUAUCUAUGCAGAUUUUAUGAAACCCACACUUGUGUAACCUGGGGCUGACCCCGGCGUUUCACGUGAAUAAAG
Lemur catta (Ring-tailed lemur) is the source of this 1166-nucleotide long non-coding RNA. RefSeq lists it as uncharacterized. The record is from RefSeq and is a predicted model, not a curated record. The transcript is spliced from 3 exons. Lineage: Eukaryota; Metazoa; Chordata; Mammalia; Primates; Lemuridae.